Molecule: ribosomal RNA, 250 nt
Filed under: uncultured bacterium
Lineage: Bacteria
Description: partial 16S ribosomal RNA
Rfam family: Bacterial small subunit ribosomal RNA
Source: RNAcentral
UACAGAGGGGGCAAGCGUUAUUCGGAAUUAUUGGGCGUAAAGGGCGCGUAGGCGGCGUCUCAAGUGGAUGGUGAAAUCCCCGGGCUUAACCUGGGAACUGCCGUCCAAACUGAGAGGCUUGAGUCCGGGAGAGGUAAGUGGAAUUCCCAGUGUAGCGGUGAAAUGCGUAGAUAUUGGGAGGAACACCAGUGGCGAAGGCGGCUUACUGGACCGGAACUGACGCUGAGGCGCGAAAGCGUGGGGAGCAAAC